GUGAAAAUCAGUGAGAAGCGCCUCUAGCGGCUGUCAAUGAGACAGCCCCUAGAGGCUGGAUUAACCUUCUCUGAAACUGCUAUGUUUACAGCAGGCAGGGUUAAUCAUAGAGGGACCUGGCACCCAGACCACUUCAUUAAAGGACCAAUCUAGGCACCCAGACCACUUCAGAUUAAUGAAGUGGUCUGGGUGCCUGGUCCAGCUAGG
Non-coding RNA from Pelobates cultripes (western spadefoot toad), 207 nucleotides. The record is from the annotation of a GenBank genome assembly. NCBI's taxonomy places the organism in Eukaryota, Metazoa, Chordata, Amphibia, Anura, Pelobatidae.